Macaca fascicularis (crab-eating macaque) is the source of this 148-nucleotide unclassified non-coding RNA. It matches the Rfam family "Metazoan signal recognition particle RNA". From Rfam's summary of the family: The signal recognition particle (SRP) is a universally conserved ribonucleoprotein. It is involved in the co-translational targeting of proteins to membranes. The record is from Ensembl. Lineage: Eukaryota; Metazoa; Chordata; Mammalia; Primates; Cercopithecidae.
GCCAGGCAUGGUGGUGUGUGCCUGUAAUCCCAGCUACUUGGGAGGCUGAGACAGGAGAAUUGCUUGAACCUGGGAGGUGGAGGUUGCAGUGAGCCGAGAUCCUGCCACUGCACUCCCGCCUGGAUGACAAAGCAAGACUCUGUCUCAA